UACGAUCCAGUGAGUUCUCGAAUUAUUCAACCGUUGACGAUCUUGGCGAUACGACCACCGAUGGACUCUGUGUAAAUAUGCUGCAUCUAAAGUGAAGUUGCACGGGCGUGCACAACAUGUGUUCGAGUUAAUUAGAAUCAAACUUGAUGGCACGUGCCUUCGUGGGUCAUCUUUGAAGCAUCCUGGAAACACAUUAAAGGGAAAUAUUGAGGUUCAUAAAUCAUGAAAAUUUAUUCAUGAUUGAUGACAAUUUAAUGUCCUUGCUUGAAAGGGAGACGGUAAACUGGGAUGUCAUUUGUAUAAUAUCAUACAAUGUAUUUUAACCCUUUUUUACGCAAAGUACACGCAGACAAUAGGUGAGGGAAUUAUAAAAACUCGAUCGUGCAAGCUGAAACUUGAUGGCUUACGGUGUAUAACUAUUUAAUACACCGAUCGGUCGACCAACGGAUGUUAGCUGGUCUGGUGUACGUACGAAUGUUCAUGCGUCGAUCUUUCGCUCUAAUGCCUCCACCUGGAUAUCCGUGGGUGGUCCCUCAUGCGCUUGAGAAGUUACACCAGGUGUAGAUUGAAUGAAGAAAAGAAGUACGCUUUACUUUCCCAAUGUUCUUCCAUGGCAAUAUCGACUGCGAAGUUUUGCUCACGCCAAGUUCUCAAAUUCUAAGAUUCAUGUUCUUCCUACAUAUUAUUUUUAUAUUUACAAUCAUUAUUAUUUGUUUUCUUUAAAAGUCUAGAAAUUAACAUUCUCUUGUGUGUUUAAGUAUCUGGAUCCACGGAAAUGCCAUUCUUAUCAGAUUAACGCAGCCGAAAAUAGAGAGAGAUUGAUUGGCAGGCAGACUUCGACAAGAGUAGGCAGAAAUAACAGGAACAAUCCUUCGCAGUAAAUUCGAUUGUUCGGAGGCAGGAACGGCCCACGCCGUCCGACCUGCGAGUUCGCCAUGGGUAGAACGCUGCAUGCUUAUCGUUCGAGAAACUGGCGUGGUGCGACGGCAUCGCGCAUGUAUGUACUGGCUCUGUGGUUGCUUCUCUAACAAUACAGUAACGAUAGAAGGCGUCGCUUACGGACAAGUUCGCCUAGCGCGUAGUCACUCAGGUCUUGUUGGCGUGACGUUUCUGACGUUAAUCCUCAAACAGCUACUUUGACGCGUCUGCUCCGAGCAGCUUCCUAUGUUAACGGAAUGCCAACAGUAUUCUCAGGCGCCAGGUGUGAACGAACGAGUUACGUUUAAGGGGGGAGCCUGCUUUAGAACGUUGAA
This is a long non-coding RNA of Ooceraea biroi (clonal raider ant), 1253 nucleotides long. RefSeq lists it as uncharacterized. The record is from RefSeq and is a predicted model, not a curated record. NCBI's taxonomy places the organism in Eukaryota, Metazoa, Arthropoda, Insecta, Hymenoptera, Formicidae.